This 532-nucleotide ribosomal RNA is filed under the name uncultured Achromobacter sp. RNAcentral describes it as "bacterial SSU rRNA". It matches the Rfam family "Bacterial small subunit ribosomal RNA", at positions 46 to 573 of the family's 1533-position model. The record is from RNAcentral. Lineage: Bacteria; Pseudomonadati; Pseudomonadota; Betaproteobacteria; Burkholderiales; Alcaligenaceae.
GCCUUACACAUGCAAGUCGAACGGCAGCACGGACUUCGGUCUGGUGGCGAGUGGCGAACGGGUGAGUAAUGUAUCGGAACGUGCCCAGUAGCGGGGGAUAACUACGCGAAAGCGUAGCUAAUACCGCAUACGCCCUACGGGGGAAAGCAGGGGAUCGCAAGACCUUGCACUAUUGGAGCGGCCGAUAUCGGAUUAGCUAGUUGGUGGGGUAACGGCUCACCAAGGCGACGAUCCGUAGCUGGUUUGAGAGGACGACCAGCCACACUGGGACUGAGACACGGCCCAGACUCCUACGGGAGGCAGCAGUGGGGAAUUUUGGACAAUGGGGGAAACCCUGAUCCAGCCAUCCCGCGUGUGCGAUGAAGGCCUUCGGGUUGUAAAGCACUUUUGGCAGGAAAGAAACGUCAUGGGUUAAUACCCCGUGAAACUGACGGUACCUGCAGAAUAAGCACCGGCUAACUACGUGCCAGCAGCCGCGGUAAUACGUAGGGUGCAAGCGUUAAUCGGAAUUACUGGGCGUAAAGCGUGCGCA